GCAGACACAUUCCAGCCUAUCAGCAGCAGACCCUUCCUCCCAGACCCUCCCACCUCCUGGACAUAAUCCAUUGUGAAGCUGCAUUCUUAGUGAGCUGUCCAGGAGUUGGGAGAGUCUGGGAGGGAGGGUCUGCUGCUGAUUGGCUGGAAUGUGUCUG
This 157-nucleotide microRNA precursor is filed under the name Pelobates cultripes (western spadefoot toad). Lineage: Eukaryota; Metazoa; Chordata; Amphibia; Anura; Pelobatidae. The record is from RNAcentral.